This 253-nucleotide ribosomal RNA is filed under the name uncultured bacterium. RNAcentral's name for it is "partial 16S ribosomal RNA". It matches the Rfam family "Bacterial small subunit ribosomal RNA", at positions 524 to 776 of the family's 1533-position model. The record is from RNAcentral.
UACGGAGGAUGCAAGCGUUAUCCGGAAUGAUUGGGCGUAAAGCGUCCGCAGGUGGCAAUGUAAGUCUGCUGUUAAAGAGUGAGGCUCAACCUCAUAAGAGCAGUGGAAACUACAUAGCUAGAGUGCGUUCGGGGCAAAGGGAAUUCCUGGUGUAGCGGUGAAAUGCGUAGAGAUCAGGAAGAACACCGGUGGCGAAAGCGCUUUGCUAGGCCGCAACUGACACUGAGGGACGAAAGCUAGGGGAGCGAACAGG